GACGAACCGUGCGAACGUUGUUCGGAAUCACUGGGCUUAAAGGGCGCGUAGGCGGGUUCGCAAGUCUGUGGUGAAAGCCUCCAGCUUAACUGGAGAAGUGCCAUGGAUACUGCGAGCCUCGAGGAGGGUAGGGGCAUCUGGAACAGUAGGUGGAGCGGUGAAAUGCGUUGAUAUCUACUGGAACUCCGGUGGCGAAGGCGAGGUGCUGGACCCUUUCUGACGCUGAGGCGCGAAAGCCAGGGGAGCGAACGGG
RNAcentral lists this ribosomal RNA (253 nucleotides) under uncultured bacterium. RNAcentral describes it as "partial 16S ribosomal RNA". It matches the Rfam family "Bacterial small subunit ribosomal RNA", at positions 524 to 776 of the family's 1533-position model. The record is from RNAcentral.